Molecule: transfer RNA, 77 nt
Filed under: Cryobacterium psychrophilum
Lineage: Bacteria; Bacillati; Actinomycetota; Actinomycetes; Micrococcales; Microbacteriaceae
Also listed under: 4 other names
Description: tRNA-Met
Rfam family: tRNA
About the family: Transfer RNA (tRNA) molecules are approximately 80 nucleotides in length.
Source: RNAcentral
GGCGGGGUAGCUCAGUUGGUUAGAGCACACGGCUCAUAAUCGUGGUGUCGCGGGUUCAAUUCCCGCUCCCGCUACAA